GACGAACGCUGGCGGCGUGCUUAACACAUGCAAGUCGAACGGAAAGGCCCUGCUUGCCGGGUACUCGAGUGGCGAACGGGUGAGUAACACAUGGGUGAUCUGCCCUGCACUUCGGGAUAAGCCUGGGAAACUGGGUCUAAUACCGGAUAGGAGCCAUUUUUAGUGUGAUGGUUGGAAAGUUUUUUCGGUGUAGGAUGAGCUCGCGGCCUAUCAGCUUGUUGGUGGGGUAAUGGCCUACCAAGGCGGCGACGGGUAGCCGGCCUGAGAGGGUGGACGGCCACAUUGGGACUGAGAGACGGCCCAGACUCCUACGGGAGGCAGCAGUGGGGAAGAUUGCACAAUGGGCGCAAGCCUGAUGCAGCGACGCCGCGUGGGGGAUGACGGCCUUCGGGUUGUAAACUCCUUUCGCUAGGGACGAAGCUUUUUGUGACGGUACCUAGAGAAGAAGCACCGGCUAACUACGUG
Molecule: ribosomal RNA, 465 nt
Filed under: uncultured bacterium
Lineage: Bacteria
Description: partial 16S ribosomal RNA
Rfam family: Bacterial small subunit ribosomal RNA
Source: RNAcentral